RNAcentral lists this long non-coding RNA (2202 nucleotides) under Felis catus (domestic cat). Its description in RNAcentral is "lncRNA (ENSFCAG00000045966.2)". Lineage: Eukaryota; Metazoa; Chordata; Mammalia; Carnivora; Felidae. The record is from RNAcentral.
CAACAUUGAGUAAUAAUCUUUAAAAACUCUGGAGAAAGAUGACCACCUACCCACCAGAGGAUGCUGUUACAGGAGGACCUUGCUUCCAACUUCCAUGACACGAGCGUCGGGGGCCAGCGAGGGCUUUUGCUCUGGGUUGUCUCUACUCUAGACCUGGACGACCACAGUACCUGUGGGGAACAUUACUGGACACAGGAGCAGAGGAAAAAAGAUCCUACCCUGGACUUGAAUCAUCUGCCCCUUAGCAACCCACGCCAAGCACAGGUGGCAGACUUUGGUGAUGUGACCCCGGGGCCUGGCAGGCAGGGACCAGAAGCCUCCCGUGAUGCCAGGUCUUGGACCCAUGACACAGAGACCGCUGGGACAAUUCAGUCCUAGCAGGCAGUAGGUCUACCUAGCAGCUUUGAAAAUAAUUUUGAUGAGGUCAGUGGUGCUCCCACCCACGUGGCAUACCUUGUCGGCUUAGCAGCUAGAGCGUCCUCCAAAGGUCAAAGAUUGUACCGCAGUGUGAACCUGGGAGCUAGAAAGGCAUGUGGAGAAAGAUACUGACGGUUACAAUUUUUCAAACCUUCCCCCGUGGUAGGAUACUCCCAGAGACAUUUUGGUGAGUGAGAACAUUCCCGCAGAGUAGAAAGUAUCCGAAAAAUAAACAAGAAGGGGUAUGACACGAGCUCCCCCCCGGAGACAUCGCUUAUAUGGAAAGUCCUCACUCGCAGACGAUAGGAUAGAGGGUGCUUUGUAAAGGCCAAGAAGGGAAAACAGGGCAAAUGAUGACUUUGCAUAAAUGCACGUUACGUCUUACACGCCAGUCUAUUUUCUAAGCGUCUAAAACUUCAGCUGACCUUGUGCAAGGAAACGUUUGCGAUUAUCCAUGGACAGGGCGAAGUGUGCGUUCCCCGGGCCUGGCGGGCGAGCCCUGCAGACGCCCCCUCCGGCUUUUCCAGACCUCAGCACUGAAAUCUCCGCGGAUCCGCAGUCUCUGUGUCUUGCCUCCACGAGCUCAAAAGCCACAGGGCUCUCCCACUGUCCCCCUGCACGACCCACUCUUGAGGAUGGAUGUUUCAGGUUCUGCCACAUCGAGCUACGUGUUCAAGGCGUGGUCUCGUCACACCCACCCAGGUGCCUUAAAUUCCAGCAAGAGUCUCACCCCUUAAACGGUAUUGAUCAGAAUGAAAUUGAAAACCAAAAUAAGCCAAUGAAAAUACGAGGUAGUCCAAACACACAAUCUGGUCAUGGCUCUGCUUACUGAAGAAUCCCAGAUGUCACUGAGGGGACGGGUCUCUUGCCAACGCGUCACUUAAUCCGUCAAGACCGUGACUCCAUUUGUACUGGAUUAUGAGGUAUAUGGAAGCAAACCAGUCACGGGGUCUGAGGACCUGAUCUGGGGUCCAACCCGGUGAUCCACCCAAAGGCUUCUGUUUGGGCGGAUCACCAAAACUGGUUCCUUUCCUCCUCUGUGAAAUGGGGAGGAACAUAAAACAUCUCAAAAUGUGGUCUUUCAGGCUCAAACUCAGAAAACACAAAAAGAAAAACAAGACCUUUCUGUGAACUGAAGAAAGCCCCUUGCAAACUGUGGAGGGUCCGACAAAGGCAGUGUUGUUACCCCAAGCAUCGCACAGCGAGCCCGCCAGGCCCCGCGCCCCGAGGACGCAGAAUAGUGGCUUCAAAGUCCCGGCUGUGCCUUGAUUCAUUUCAGGACUACACGAGGAAGACGGAUGGCCUCAUCUGGAGCCGUCCACCACAAACAAGUUUUUGCAUCAUCCUGCCAAUCGCAAAGAUGGCUGCCGCCCGCAGGACCAGCCUCUGACCUUCUGCUCUCAGGAGGGCCAGCUGGUAUUGGGAGGAGAUCUGUAAUGCACAUUUCCUAAUGACUCUGCGGCCGUCUUAGUCCUGACCCAGAGAAUCUCGUCUGAAAUUAGUAAGCAUCUAAUUGCUUUUUAAUUCAAAGCAAUUAGAAGGAAGGGCGCCACCAAGCACCAUUUGCGAAGAGAGUAUCACAAUGAGAAUGAAGGAGUGCAGGUUGGGCAUCUGUGAACUGCAAAUGCACUUGUGUGCGUAACUGGCCCUAAAACGCCGGAAAAUCAAUGAGUUGGAAACGCGAGUUAUUACCGCUGCCCACGGUAGUGUGGGGCCGUGACUGUAAUGGCUGCAUUUUAAAACACGAACCCUUUGAAUUUUCUUUUUAGAAACUUAUCUCGUAAC